RNAcentral lists this ribosomal RNA (254 nucleotides) under uncultured bacterium. Its description in RNAcentral is "partial 16S ribosomal RNA". It matches the Rfam family "Bacterial small subunit ribosomal RNA", at positions 524 to 776 of the family's 1533-position model. The record is from RNAcentral.
UACGUAGGGUGCAAGCGUUAAUCGGAAUUACUGGGCGUAAAGCGUGCGCAGGCGGUGAUGUAAGACAGAUGUGAACAUCCCCGGGCUCAACCUGGGAACUGCAUUUGUGACUGCAUCGCUAGAGUACGGCAGAGGGGGAUGGAAUUCCGCGUGUAGCAGUGAAAUGCGUAGAUAUGCGGAGGAACACCGAUGGCGAAGGCAAUCCCCUGGGCCUGUACUGACGCUCAUGCACGAAAGCGUGGGGAGCAAACAGG